GUCGCAAUAGCUUAUUAAAGCG
RNAcentral lists this transfer RNA (22 nucleotides) under Andrias davidianus (Chinese giant salamander). RNAcentral describes it as "partial tRNA-Thr". Lineage: Eukaryota; Metazoa; Chordata; Amphibia; Caudata; Cryptobranchidae. The record is from RNAcentral.